AUGCCGCUGGACUUCACGAAGUAGUUCCCGUCCGUGCCGCAGGAGUUCAAGCUGAAGACUUACACCGGCUGCUCCUGGAGGGUCACUGUCCGGCUGUUGAACGGUAGGGUCACCCUCGAUCUUGGUUGGGCCACCUUCGCUGCCAUCCAUCCUAUCAAGAUAGGCUACAUUGUGACCUUCACGCUACUGACUCCCGACAGGCUGAAGGUCAUCGUCUUCAAUGACGAUGGCAUUGAAGUGGUAACUAGGUGCGGGAAGCAUGAUGAAGCCUUUGCCGUAAACGCCUAG
This 288-nucleotide ribosomal RNA is filed under the name Triticum aestivum (bread wheat). RNAcentral describes it as "partial small subunit ribosomal RNA". The record is from RNAcentral. Lineage: Eukaryota; Viridiplantae; Streptophyta; Magnoliopsida; Poales; Poaceae.